CGGCAGCGGGGGCUUCGGCCUGCCGGCGAGUGGCGAACGGGUGAGUAAUGCAUCGGAACGUGCCUAGUCAUGGGGGAUAACUACGCGAAAGCGUAGCUAAUACCGCAUACGCCCUGAGGGGGAAAGUGGGGGAUCUUCGGACCUCACGUGAUUGGAGCGGCCGAUGUCAGAUUAGCUAGUUGGUGAGGUAAAGGCUCACCAAGGCGACGAUCUGUAGCGGGUCUGAGAGGAUGAUCCGCCACACUGGGACUGAGACACGGCCCAGACUCCUACGGGAGGCAGCAGUGGGGAAUUUUGGACAAUGGGCGCAAGCCUGAUCCAGCCAUGCCGCGUGAGUGAAGAAGGCCUUCGGGUUGUAAAGCUCUUUCGCAAGGGAAGAAAACGUGUGGGCUAAUAUCCUGCGCGGAUGACGGUACCUUGACAAGAAGCACCGGCUAACUACGUGCCAGCAGCCGCGGUAAUACGUAGGGUGCGAGCGUUAAUCGGAAUUACUGGGCGUAAAGCGUGCGCAGGCGGUUGUG
RNAcentral lists this ribosomal RNA (521 nucleotides) under uncultured Azoarcus sp. RNAcentral describes it as "bacterial SSU rRNA". It matches the Rfam family "Bacterial small subunit ribosomal RNA", at positions 67 to 583 of the family's 1533-position model. Lineage: Bacteria; Pseudomonadati; Pseudomonadota; Betaproteobacteria; Rhodocyclales; Zoogloeaceae. The record is from RNAcentral.